This 1483-nucleotide ribosomal RNA is filed under the name uncultured prokaryote. Its description in RNAcentral is "partial 16S ribosomal RNA". It matches the Rfam family "Bacterial small subunit ribosomal RNA". The record is from RNAcentral.
UAGAGUUUGAUCCUGGCUCAGGACGAACGCUGGCGGUGCGCCUUAUGCAUGCAAGUCGAGCGAAGCUUUUCAGUAGUUUACUACAGAAAAUGACUGAGCGGCGAACGGGUGAGUAACGCGUGAGCAAUCUACCUUAGUUACAGGGAUAGCCCGAGGAAACUCGGAUUAAUACCGGAUAUUCUUAUUUUUUCACAUGAAGUUUUAAGGAAAGGUCAGCCGAACUAAGAUGAGCUCGCGUUCUAUCAGCUAGUUGGUGAGGUAAAAGCUUACCAAGGCUACGACGGAUAGCUGGUCUGAGAGGACGAUCAGCCACACUGGGACUGAGACACGGCCCAGACUCCUACGGGAGGCUGCAGCAGGGAAUAUUGUGCAAUGGGCGAAAGCCUGACGCAGCAACGCCGCGUGUGGGAUGACGGUUCUAGGAUUGUAAACCACUUUCAGGAGGGAAGAAAAUGACGGUACCUCCACAAGAAGACCCGGCCAACUAUGUGCCAGCAGCCGCGGUAAUACGGAGGGUGCAAGCGUUGUUCGGAUUUAUUGGGCGUAAAGCGAGUGUAGGCGGUUUGAAAAGUCGGAUGUAAAAGUUUAGGGCUCAACCCUAAAAUGUCGAUCGAUAACUGUCAGGCUAGAGUCCCGGAGAGGGUGGCGGAAUUCCCGGUGUAGGGGUGAAAUCCGUAGAUAUCGGGAGGAACACCAGUGGCGAAGGCGGCCACCUGGACGGUGACUGACGCUGAGACUCGAAAGCGUGGGUAGCAAACAGGAUUAGAUACCCUGGUAGUCCACGCCGUAAACGGUGAGAGCUCGUCGUAGUGGGUAUUGACCCCUGCUGUGACCAAGUUAACGCAUGAAGCUCUCCGCCUGGGAAGUACGGUCGCAAGACUAAAACUCAAAGAAAUUGACGGGGGCCCGCACAAGCGGUGGAGCAUGUUGUUUAAUUCGAAGCAACGCGCAGAACCUUACCUGGAUUUGACAUCUCCGGAAUCUCUCUGAAAGGAGAGAGUGCCUUCGGGAACCGGAUGACAGGUGCUGCAUGGCUGUCGUCAGCUCGUGUCGUGAGGUGUUGGGUUAAGUCCCGCAACGAGCGCAACCCCUAUCGUUAGUUGCUAGCAGGUAAUGCUGAGAACUCUAGGGAGACUGCCGGUGAUAAAGCGGAGGAAGGUGGGGACGACGUCAAGUCUUCAUGGCCCUGAUGGGUAGGGCGACACACUUGCUACAAUGGUCGGUACAGAGGGCUGCAAACUCGCGAGAGUAAGCUAAUCUCAGAAAGCCGAUCUUAGUCCGGAUUGGAGUCUGCAACUCGACUCCAUGAAGUUGGAAUCGCUAGUAAUCGCGGAUCAGAAUGCCGCGGUGAAUACGUUCCCGGGCCUUGUACCUCACCGCCCGUCACACCAUGGGAGUUGAAUUCAUUCGAAGCGGGGAUGCUAAAAUAGCUACCUUCCACAGUGGAUUUAGUAACUAGGGUGAAGUCGUAACAAGGUAACCA